Plectosphaerella cucumerina is the source of this 106-nucleotide non-coding RNA. Lineage: Eukaryota; Fungi; Ascomycota; Sordariomycetes; Glomerellales; Plectosphaerellaceae. The record is from the annotation of a GenBank genome assembly.
GGUAUCGUGUCCGAGUGGUUAAGGAGACAGACUUGAAUAGAUCGCCUAGGCGAUUCUUCGGUAUCUGUUGGGUUCGCCCGCGCAGGUUCGAACCCUGUCGAUACCG